RNAcentral lists this ribosomal RNA (293 nucleotides) under uncultured eukaryote. Its description in RNAcentral is "partial 18S ribosomal RNA". It matches the Rfam family "Eukaryotic small subunit ribosomal RNA", at positions 6 to 303 of the family's 1831-position model. The record is from RNAcentral.
GGUUGAUCCUGCCAGUAGUCAUAUGCUUGUCCCAAAGAUUAAGCCAUGCAUGUCCAAGUAUAUACCUUUAUACGGUGAAACUGCGAAUGGCUCAUUAUAUCAGUUAUAAUUUACUUGAAGAUUUCUUUACUACAUGGAUAACUGUGGUAAUUCUAGAGCUAAUACAUGCGUAAGAAGCCCGAUUGGGAUAGUAUUUAUUAGAUAAAAACCAAUUGCCAGUAAAAUGGCAGAUUUGGCGAGUCAUGAUAACUUUGCGGAUCGCAUGGCCUUGAGCCGGCGACGCUUCAUUCAAA